ACACUACUCUCUCUCUCUCUCUCUCUCUCUUCCUCCCUCUAUAUGCCUCCCGUCCUCUCUUCUCUAGCUACUGUCUUCUCUCCCUCCCCCUAAACCUACACACCACCACCUCCCAACCAAGGUUCACACAUAUGGUAUUAGUAACCAGACAUUCAUGGGCGAGAACACCAUGUCAGUCAAGAUGAAGGCAUGGCUCGAGGCCUUCUCCGCCAACCUCGCCAAGUGCAUG
This 229-nucleotide long non-coding RNA is filed under the name Sorghum bicolor (sorghum). RNAcentral describes it as "long non-coding RNA (SBIC_LNC006079)". The record is from RNAcentral. Lineage: Eukaryota; Viridiplantae; Streptophyta; Magnoliopsida; Poales; Poaceae.